This 253-nucleotide ribosomal RNA is filed under the name uncultured bacterium. RNAcentral describes it as "partial 16S ribosomal RNA". It matches the Rfam family "Bacterial small subunit ribosomal RNA", at positions 524 to 776 of the family's 1533-position model. The record is from RNAcentral.
UACGUAGGGGGCAAGCGUUGUCCGGAAUCAUUGGGCGUAAAGAGCGUGUAGGCGGUUCGAUAAGUCUGCUGUGAAAGUCCAAGGCUCAACCUUGGGAUGCCGGUGGAUACUGUCGAACUCGAGUCCGGAAGAGGAGUGUGGAAUUCCUGGUGUAGCGGUGAAAUGCGCAGAUAUCAGGAGGAACACCGAUGGCGAAGGCAGCACUCUGGAACGUGACUGACGCUGAGACGCGAAAGCGUGGGGAGCAAACAGG